RNAcentral lists this ribosomal RNA (491 nucleotides) under uncultured bacterium. Its description in RNAcentral is "partial 16S ribosomal RNA". It matches the Rfam family "Bacterial small subunit ribosomal RNA", at positions 29 to 506 of the family's 1533-position model. The record is from RNAcentral.
AGUGAACGCUGGCGGUAGGCCUAACACAUGCAAGUCGAACGGCAGCACAGUAAGAGCUUGCUCUUACGGGUGGCGAGUGGCGGACGGGUGAGGAAUACAUCGGAAUCUACUUUUUCGUGGGGGAUAACGUAGGGAAACUUACGCUAAUACCGCAUACGACCUACGGGUGAAAGCAGGGGAUCUUCGGACCUUGCGCGAUUGAAUGAGCCGAUGUCGGAUUAGCUAGUUGGCGGGGUAAAGGCCCACCAAGGCGACGAUCCGUAGCUGGCCUGAGAGGAUGAUCAGCCAACUGGGAACUGAGACACGGUCCAGAACCCUAGGGGAGGCAGGAGUGGGGAAUUUUGGAAAAUGGGGGAAAGCCUGAUCCAGCCAUCCCGGGGGGGUGAAGAAGGCCUUCGGGUUGUAAAGCCUUUUUGUUGGGAAAAAAAAGAAGCAGGUUAAUCCCCCGCUUUUCUGAGGGUACCAAAAGAAUAAGCCCCGGCUAAUUUCGU